GUCAGAGCAAGAGAAGAGCAGAAAUACACUGUUUCAAGAAAAAGAGACAAGACGGAUACAAUACUGAACAAUCUGUUCGACUCCGUAGACGUACUGUUACUGUCACUGAUCUCUUCCUGCUGUAGAGAUGGAGACAUGGUUACUCUCACCAUUACUGCUACUGCUUGGAGUAACCGAUGCCCUGAACAUUUUGGAACACUCCGCACAUGCUGCCG
Molecule: long non-coding RNA, 215 nt
Organism: Electrophorus electricus (electric eel)
Lineage: Eukaryota; Metazoa; Chordata; Actinopteri; Gymnotiformes; Gymnotidae
Source: RefSeq, a predicted model, not a curated record